Molecule: ribosomal RNA, 808 nt
Filed under: Streptomyces olivaceus
Lineage: Bacteria; Bacillati; Actinomycetota; Actinomycetes; Kitasatosporales; Streptomycetaceae
Description: bacterial SSU rRNA
Rfam family: Bacterial small subunit ribosomal RNA
Source: RNAcentral
AGUCGAACGAUGAAGCCUUUCGGGGUGGAUUAGUGGCGAACGGGUGAGUAACACGUGGGCAAUCUGCCCUUCACUCUGGGACAAGCCCUGGAAACGGGGUCUAAUACCGGAUAACACUCUGUCCCGCAUGGGACGGGGUUGAAAGCUCCGGCGGUGAAGGAUGAGCCCGCGGCCUAUCAGCUUGUUGGUGGGGUAAUGGCCUACCAAGGCGACGACGGGUAGCCGGCCUGAGAGGGCGACCGGCCACACUGGGACUGAGACACGGCCCAGACUCCUACGGGAGGCAGCAGUGGGGAAUAUUGCACAAUGGGCGAAAGCCUGAUGCAGCGACGCCGCGUGAGGGAUGACGGCCUUCGGGUUGUAAACCUCUUUCAGCAGGGAAGAAGCGAAAGUGACGGUACCUGCAGAAGAAGCGCCGGCUAACUACGUGCCAGCAGCCGCGGUAAUACGUAGGGCGCAAGCGUUGUCCGGAAUUAUUGGGCGUAAAGAGCUCGUAGGCGGCUUGUCACGUCGGAUGUGAAAGCCCGGGGCUUAACCCCGGGUCUGCAUUCGAUACGGGCUAGCUAGAGUGUGGUAGGGGAGAUCGGAAUUCCUGGUGUAGCGGUGAAAUGCGCAGAUAUCAGGAGGAACACCGGUGGCGAAGGCGGAUCUCUGGGCCAUUACUGACGCUGAGGAGCGAAAGCGUGGGGAGCGAACAGGAUUAGAUACCCUGGUAGUCCACGCCGUAAACGUUGGGAACUAGUGUUGGCGACAUUCCACGUCGUCGGUGCCGCAGCUAACGCAUUAAGUUCCCCGCCUGGGGGAGUAC